AUACGGAGGAUCCGAGCGUUAUCCGGAUUUAUUGGGUUUAAAGGGUGCGUAGGUGGUUUGAUAAGUCAGCGGUGAAAGUUUGCAGCUUAACUGUAAAAAUGCCGUUGAAACUGUCGGACUUGAGUGUAAAUGAGGUAGGCGGAAUGCGUGGUGUAGCGGUGAAAUGCAUAGAUAUCACGCAGAACUCCAAUUGCGAAGGCAGCUUACUAAGCUACAACUGACACUGAAGCACGAAAGCGUGGGGAUCAAACAGGAUUAGAUACCCUGGUAGUCCACGCAGUAAACGAUGAUUACUAGCUGUUUGCGAUACACAGUAAGCGGCACAGCGAAAGCGUUAAGUAAUCCACCUGGGGAGUACGCCGGCAACGGUGAAACUCAAAUGAAUUGACGGGG
Molecule: ribosomal RNA, 393 nt
Filed under: uncultured bacterium
Lineage: Bacteria
Description: partial 16S ribosomal RNA
Rfam family: Bacterial small subunit ribosomal RNA
Source: RNAcentral